AGGUGCGAUCAUACCAGCACUAAUCCACCGGAUCCCAUCAGAACUCCGAAGUUAAGCGUGCCUGGGCGAGAGUAGUACAAGGAUGGGUGACCUCCUGCGAAAUCCUCGUGUUGCACCCC
Molecule: ribosomal RNA, 119 nt
Filed under: Nelumbo nucifera (sacred lotus)
Lineage: Eukaryota; Viridiplantae; Streptophyta; Magnoliopsida; Proteales; Nelumbonaceae
Source: RNAcentral